This 301-nucleotide ribosomal RNA is filed under the name uncultured bacterium. Its description in RNAcentral is "partial 16S ribosomal RNA". It matches the Rfam family "Bacterial small subunit ribosomal RNA", at positions 509 to 807 of the family's 1533-position model. The record is from RNAcentral.
CAGUCGCCGCGGUAAUACGAAGGGUGCAAGCGUUACUCGGAAUUACUGGGCGUAAAGCGUGCGUAGGUGGUGGUUUAAGUCCGUUGUGAAAGCCCUGGGCUCAACCUGGGAAUUGCAGUGGAUACUGGGUCACUAGAGUGUGGUAGAGGAUAGUGGAAUUUCCGGUGUAGCAGUGAAAUGCGUAGAGAUCGGAAGGAACAUCUGUGGCGAAAGCGACUAUCUGGGCCAACACUGACACUGAGGCACGAAAGCGUGGGGAGCAAACAGGAUUAGAUACCCGGGUAGUCCCUGUCUCUUAUAC